This 23-nucleotide non-coding RNA is filed under the name Cricetulus griseus (Chinese hamster). Lineage: Eukaryota; Metazoa; Chordata; Mammalia; Rodentia; Cricetidae. The record is from RNAcentral.
CAGUCUCAGAUGGUAGUGAACUC